UAAAUUUCGGGUAAUUGCGGUCUAUUAAGUUAGGCUGAGGAAAGUCCAUGCUUGCACAAGCUGAGAUGCUUGUAGUGUUCGUGCUUGGUGAAAAAAUAAGCCAAGGUACCUUCGGGUAACGGCGGAUAAAAUGACUAAGGCUUCGGCUAUGUCAAAGUAAUCUGUAAAGUGCCACAGAGACGAUACAAUAUUGGAAACGGUAUUGCUGGAACGCGGUAAACCCCACGAGUAGGCAACCCAAACUUUGGUAGGGGCGCUUCAUGACGGAAAUGAACAAAUCAUGGGGGCAGAUAAUAUCUGGAGAUAGAUGAUUACCACUGAUUUCAUCGCCUGAGAUGGAUGACGUACAAAACAUGGCUUAUAGAAAUU
This 369-nucleotide RNase P RNA is filed under the name Dellaglioa algida. RNAcentral describes it as "Lactobacillus algidus RNaseP_bact_b". It matches the Rfam family "Bacterial RNase P class B". Rfam says of the family: Ribonuclease P (RNase P) is a ubiquitous endoribonuclease, found in archaea, bacteria and eukarya as well as chloroplasts and mitochondria. Its best characterised activity is the generation of mature 5'-ends of tRNAs by cleaving the 5'-leader elements of precursor-tRNAs. Lineage: Bacteria; Bacillati; Bacillota; Bacilli; Lactobacillales; Lactobacillaceae. The record is from RNAcentral.